UAUCCUCAUAUGGUGGUCUCUUCCUUUCUUUUCCUCUCCUGGUUCAUAUUUGGGCCAGAGUGACCUCUGGCAUUUACCUCCAACUAACUUUGAGGUGCAGGAGCCCACAAGCCAUCAUUUAUCCUUUGGCAAAUAUAGCAGCAGUUAGCUAGCCUGUCUGUCACUUUUAGGAUUCUUGGGGGGAUAGAGAUGAGACUCCCAUGCCUGCCAAAUGCAGGGGACAAAUAUCCUGUCUCCAGGUGACACUGCUGGAACCCUUCUGCCUUGAGUAACAUAAAGAAGAGGAAAGAAUGAUGAAAGAAUUAUCAAACAAAUGAGAUGCUUGUAAACUUCAUUAGUUAUCUGAAGCCACAAAGGGGCAUUUAAUAAACCAUUCCUCUCAAAA
Molecule: non-coding RNA, 385 nt
Filed under: Pongo abelii (Sumatran orangutan)
Lineage: Eukaryota; Metazoa; Chordata; Mammalia; Primates; Hominidae
Source: RNAcentral